This 253-nucleotide ribosomal RNA is filed under the name uncultured bacterium. RNAcentral describes it as "partial 16S ribosomal RNA". It matches the Rfam family "Bacterial small subunit ribosomal RNA", at positions 524 to 776 of the family's 1533-position model. The record is from RNAcentral.
UACAGGGGGGGCAAGCGUUGUUCGGAAUUACUGGGCGUAAAGGGCCAGUAGGCGGCCAACUAAGUCACACGUGAAAUCCCCAGGCUUAACCUGGGAACUGCGUGUGAUACUGGAUGGCUUGAAUUCGGGAGAGGGAUGCAGAAUUCCAGGUGUAGCGGUGAAAUGCGUAGAUAUCUGGAGGAAUACCGGUGGCGAAGGCGGCAUCCUGGACCGACAUUGACGCUGAACGGCGAAAGCUAGGGGAGCAAACAGG